This 775-nucleotide ribosomal RNA is filed under the name uncultured Neocallimastigales. RNAcentral's name for it is "partial large subunit ribosomal RNA". It matches the Rfam family "Eukaryotic large subunit ribosomal RNA", at positions 24 to 645 of the family's 3401-position model. The record is from RNAcentral. Lineage: Eukaryota; Fungi; Neocallimastigomycota; Neocallimastigomycetes; Neocallimastigales.
AUCUCUGUAGAGUCUGCAUAUCAAUAAGCGGAGGAAAAGAAACUAACAAGGAUUCCCUUAGUAACGGCGAGUGAAGCGGGAAGAGCUCAAAUUUGAAAUCUUCAAGGUUUUACCUUGACGAAUUGUAGUUUAAAGAAGUGUUUUCUGUUGAAGUUUCGGUAAAAGUUCUUUGGAAUAGGACAUCAUAGAGGGUGAGAAUCCCGUAUUUGACCAGUUAUUUUCAACUGUGUGAUACACUUUCAAAGAGUCGGAUUGUUUGGGAAUGCAGUCCAAGAUGGGUGGUAAAUUUCAUCUAAAGCUAAAUAUUGGCGAGAGACCGAUAGAGAACAAGUACCGUGAGGGAAAGAUGAAAAGAACUUUGAAAAGAGAGUUAAACAGUACGUGAAAUUGUCAAAAGGGAAGCGUUUGACACCAGUGUUGUUUUCUCGAAAAUCAAUUAAAAAUGACUUGAUUUUGUGUUGUAUUGACCUUAAAAGCUUUCUUCACUUUUUUCAUGUCUUUUUUAAUGCACUUUUCGUUUAACAAGUCAACAUCAGUUUCUUUUGUUGUAAAAAGGUCAUUGGAAGGUGGCUUUCUUUUCGGAGAAAGUGUUUAUAGCCUUUGACUCCUGCAAUCGGAGAGACUGAGGUCUGCAGCGUAGAUCCUUCUUGGAUUAGAUUCAUUUGUGCUAAGUUAUAGCUUUUCAUAGACAACUUGUUGACUAUGUUUAGUCUUGUAGCUUACUCGCUUAUGUAAUUUUACCUACGCUUAGGAUGUUGAUCUCUCACAGUCGAGC